Molecule: ribosomal RNA, 465 nt
Filed under: uncultured bacterium
Lineage: Bacteria
Description: partial 16S ribosomal RNA
Rfam family: Bacterial small subunit ribosomal RNA
Source: RNAcentral
GACGAACGCUGGCGGCGUGCUUAACACAUGCAAGUCGAACGGAAAGGCCCUGCUUGCCGGGUACUCGAGUGGCGAACGGGUGAGUAACACGUGGGUGAUCUGCCCUGCACUUCGGGAUAAGCCUGGGGAACUGGGUCUAAUACCGGAUAUGACCUUCCAUGUAGUGUGGGGGGUGGAAAGAUUUAUCGGUGUGGGAUGAGCCCGCGGCCUAUCAGCUUGUUGGUGGGGUAAUGGCCUACCAAGGCGUCGACGGGUAGCCGGCCUGAGAGGGUGGACGGCCACAUUGGGACUGAGAUACGGCCCAGACUCCUACGGGAGGCAGCAGUGGGGAAUAUUGCACAAUGGGCGGAAGCCUGAUGCAGCGACGCCGCGUGGGGGAUGACGGCCUUCGGGUUGUAAACCUCUUUCGACAGGGACGAAGCUUCGGUGACGGUACCUGUAGAAGAAGCACCGGCUAACUACGUG